Centrocercus urophasianus (Greater sage-grouse) is the source of this 378-nucleotide long non-coding RNA. RefSeq lists it as uncharacterized. The record is from RefSeq and is a predicted model, not a curated record. Lineage: Eukaryota; Metazoa; Chordata; Aves; Galliformes; Phasianidae. The transcript is spliced from 3 exons.
UGGUCUCUAUCUGUGCUUCUAGGCACCUUGAAGUUCUUAGGAAAAGAAUAACUGUCUCCAGUUCUUCUUGAUGAUAUAAGUAACAGCUUGAAUGUUGCUGCCCAAAGAAGCAGAUUACAGUUAAACACCUGUUAAAUCACCCUUGGCUCAUGCAAGGUUAUUCUGAUGCUGUUCAGCGGCAAAGUAAAUACCCACUGGGGCACCUUGAUGAAGACUGUGUAACAGAACUUCCUGUGUUUCACAACCAGAGCAGAGUAUAUCGGCAUUAAUAUCAGAGGUACAGAAAAUAAUGAGAACAAUCUACCUACAAGGGGAAGAAGUUCUUCCAUGUUAGUCUGUGAUAUUUUCACUGUCCUUUAUUAAAGGACUUUUAAUGCC